Molecule: small nuclear RNA, 96 nt
Organism: Macaca fascicularis (crab-eating macaque)
Lineage: Eukaryota; Metazoa; Chordata; Mammalia; Primates; Cercopithecidae
Source: Ensembl
GGAGACUCGUGCUCGCUUUGGCAGAACAUACACUAAGAAGAUUAGCAUGGCCCCUGUGCAAGAAUGACGCGAAUUUGUGAAGCAUUCCAUUUUCAA